RNAcentral lists this ribosomal RNA (940 nucleotides) under uncultured fungus. Its description in RNAcentral is "eukaryotic LSU rRNA". The stretch from base 303 to 940 matches the Rfam family "Eukaryotic large subunit ribosomal RNA", at positions 1 to 664 of the family's 3401-position model. Lineage: Eukaryota; Fungi. The record is from RNAcentral.
AUCGAUGAAGAACGCAGCGAAAUGCGAUAAGUAAUGUGAAUUGCAGAAUUCAGUGAAUCAUCGAAUCUUUGAACGCACAUUGCGCCUGCCAGUAUUCUGGCGGGCAUGCCUGUCCGAGCGUCAGUUCAACCCACCAGCUUCCCCUUGCUGGGCGUUGGGGACCGGGCCAGACGCCGUUCGGUGUCGGCGCGCCCCCGAAACGAAGCGGCGGCCGUCCCGUGGGCUCCUCUGCGCAGUAGAGCAUCUCGCAUUGGUGACCACGGCUCCGGCUACGCCCAUCAAACCAAACCGACCACCAAGGUUGACCUCGGAUCAGGUAGGAAUACCCGCUGAACUUAAGCAUAUCAAUAAGCGGAGGAAAAGAAACCAACAGGGAUUGCCCCAGUAACGGCGAGUGAAGCGGCAACAGCUCAAAUUUGAAAUCUGACCCCCGGGUCCGAGUUGUAAUUUGCAGAGGAUGCUUUUGGCGCGGCGCCUUCCGAGUUCCCUGGAACGGGACGCCAGAGAGGGUGAGAGCCCCGUCCGGUUGUGUCGCCUAGCCUCUGUAAAGCUCCUUCGACGAGUCGAGUAGUUUGGGAAUGCUGCUCUAAAUGGGAGGUAUACGUCUUCUAAAGCUAAAUAUCGGCCAGAGACCGAUAGCGCACAAGUAGAGUGAUCGAAAGAUGAAAAGCACUUUGAAAAGAGGGUUAAAAAGUACGUGAAAUUGUUGAAAGGGAAGCGCUUGUGACCAGACUUGGAUUCGGUGAAUCAUCCAGCGUUUUCGCUGGUGCACUUCGCCGUUCCAGGCCAGCAUCGGUUCGCCGUGGGGGACAAAGACGGCGGGAACGUGGCUCCCCCGGGAGUGUUAUAGCCCGCCGUGCAAUACCCUGAGGUGGACCGAGGUACGCGCCCUGCAAGGAUGCUGGCGUAAUGGUCACCAGCGACCCGUCUUGAAACACGG